Cyprinus carpio (common carp) is the source of this 1664-nucleotide long non-coding RNA. RefSeq lists it as uncharacterized. The record is from RefSeq and is a predicted model, not a curated record. The transcript is spliced from 3 exons. Lineage: Eukaryota; Metazoa; Chordata; Actinopteri; Cypriniformes; Cyprinidae.
CCUCUAUGCAAAGCUGACGGGAAAUCUAUUAUUCAGGAAAAAGUGAUUGGGAUGUGGCAAGAGCAGUGGGAUAGUAAUGACACUGGCAGACAUCUUUACUGUGUGCAAAGAAAUGUGGGAGGGGGUAGAUCUAGGGAUGGAAGUAGGAGAGAAGAGGCAAUGCUGACACGUUUAAGGAUUGGCCAUUCAGGUCUCAAUAGAUCUUUAUUCCGUAUAGGGAAACAUCAGACAGGAGGUUGUGAUUAUUGCGGUCAGCCAGAAACAGUUGAACAUGUCCUAAUAGAGUGUAAUAAUUAUAUGGAAGAGCGUAGUUGUUUAACAUCAGUCCUAUAUAAAGAAGGGAAAGCGCUUACUUUAGUUAAUCUAUUAGGAGAUGUAUCUAAAAGUGUUAAAAAUCAAGUUAUGAGGUUUCUCAAAAAUACGGGGUUGUUCUACCGUAUUUAAUAUGUACAUAUUUAUAUCAUAAGUAUGCGCAUAGGUGAAUAAUUCCCUCUGACUAUUCUCGACGACCACACUCCUGUCUGGUAGAUGGCGGUAAAUGCACCUUAAGUUGGUUUGCCAACCGCCAGUUAAACUCUAAAAGAAGAAGAAGAAGAAGGAUAAUCGGGGGAGAAGCACGAGUGAAGUCAAUAAUGAGCGAGCCGGAGUUGCAUUGACUAGACAAAAAACCAGGCGCAGCAGAAAUCUUCGGACCACUUUGUCAUUUUAAAAUCAUUUAAAAAAUUUUUUAGGACAAAUCUAUGAUUUCAACACAAGUUUUCUGGAGGAUCUGCUGCUGUUCAUCCAGAAAAGUGAAAGUUUGCACGGAAGCAUGUCACCAUCAUGGAAGUCCUGCCACAACUUCAAGCAAUAAACAAAAACAUCCUGGAAGAGCACUUGCAGUCCAUUGGAGUCGAGACGUAUGAUGAUCUAAUGUUCAUAACGGAGGCUGAUUUGUUGACUGCAUUAAGACCUGUAGAAGCCAGAAAGCUUCUUUCUGUUUGGAAAAACACCACACACCACCACACAACUAUUCAGAAUCAAAAGCAGACAUGGACAUUGUGUAAUAUUGUACAGUGUGAAUCAUUAUAAUCUUAUAAACUAAGAAAAGCUCACUAUCAUCUGUGGAAGCCUCAUCUUCCCAAUCGCUCUGUUCCACCCCAAAUUUCCUCGUCAACCUCCUCCAGCAGCCCAGGACUUGACACACAUUGGGAUGACAACUUUGAAAUUCCAAUUUCCUGAGGAAGUGAUGCAUUCUCUGGAGAGGGGAAAAAGGCCCGGCACAAAACUGAGGCAGCAAAUGGUACGGACUGUUAUGACUGAGAUGAUGGAAAAAUCAUCUCAACACCCAAAAUAAGAAAAAGAAAACAUCAGACUGAUGUCCCAGACCAGACCUAAAUACAAAGUGAGUAUCAUAUUUAAGCCUAAAUAUGGACUCUUUCUGUUUGUUUGAGAAGAGACCUGACCUGUAACUUGGCCUAUUGGCAUCACCUGAUUGUCUCUAUGGAGAUCGAUAAGUCUUACUGUGGAACAUUCCAGACAGGGAGAGUGUGCGUUGUUGUUGUGCGCCUGGCACUUAAACUUUGUUAAAAAAUAACUUUUCAAACUUGCUUUGAAAAAAAAAAAAAUGCAUCCAGUCGUUUACAACUCUUUUGAUGGCUGCUAAAUAAAUUUUGCAAAAGUGA